UGCAGUCGGACGGCAGGGAGCUUGCUCCCCCUAGAGUGGCGGACUGGUGAGUAACGCGUGGGUGACCUGCCCUCGAGAUGGGGAUAGCCAUUAGAAAUAGUGGAUAAUACCGAAUACGCUCGCGACCCUGUGGGGAUGCGAGGAAAUCAGGCUACGGCCUGGCUCGAGGAUGGGCCCGCGUCCCAUUAGCUAGUUGGUGAGGUAACGGCCCACCAAGGCGACGAUGGGUAUCCGGCCUGAGAGGGUGAUCGGACACAUUGGGACUGAGAUACGGCCAAACUCCUACGGGAGGCAGCAGCUAAGAAUAUUCCGCAAUGGACGAAAGUCUGACGGAGCGACGCCGCGUGGAUGAAGAAGGCCGAAAGGUUGUAAAAUCCUUUUGCCGAUGAAGAAUAAGUGCGGUAGGGAAUGACCGUAUGAUGACAUUAGUCGGUGAAUAAGCCCCGGACUAAUUACGUGCCAGCAGCCGCGGUAACACGUAAGGGGCAAGCGUUGUUCGGAAUUAUUGGGCGUAAAGGGCAUGUAGGCGGUUUUGUAAGCCUGGUGUGAAAUCCUGGAGCUUA
RNAcentral lists this ribosomal RNA (563 nucleotides) under uncultured bacterium. RNAcentral describes it as "bacterial SSU rRNA". It matches the Rfam family "Bacterial small subunit ribosomal RNA", at positions 56 to 611 of the family's 1533-position model. The record is from RNAcentral.